ACCCGUUCGUGUCAUGUUGACCUUUGGCUGCAUGAGUCAUACAAUAUGAAACUGGUCUUAUGGUUUUUGAAACGUAGCCAGCAUUUGUAAGGCUAAACCUUUUUCACAAACUGAGUUGAGAUGAAUCACCACCAGGCCACCAUUCCUCUUCAGAAGGAGAGUGCUUAACAGACGUUUGAAUCCCUUUGCCCUUUCCGAUGGUUUAAACACACACACACACACAGACACAAAAACAGACUAGGGGAAAAAAGGUUUGGCCUUAUCACAGAAUUUGUACUGUGCUGUACAAAUGUUUGCAAAUGCAAAACGUGUGCAUUUCUAGCGUGUUUCUACAUUCAUUAAUGCCGCCUUCAGGAGCAAUAUCGUGCAGGUAAAAUGCUGUUUGUGGCUUUCUGUUGCACAGUUAAAGCUGACCCACCUUAUGCACAAGACAAUCAGAUAUAAAUCUGUCCUCCUCAGGAUGCA
Molecule: long non-coding RNA, 465 nt
Filed under: Bos taurus (domestic cattle)
Lineage: Eukaryota; Metazoa; Chordata; Mammalia; Artiodactyla; Bovidae
Description: long non-coding RNA NONBTAT016818
Source: RNAcentral